Small nuclear RNA from Apodemus sylvaticus (European woodmouse), 109 nucleotides. NCBI's taxonomy places the organism in Eukaryota, Metazoa, Chordata, Mammalia, Rodentia, Muridae. The record is from RefSeq and is a predicted model, not a curated record.
UUGCACUCCCUUUGGCAGCAUAUAUACUGAAACUGGAAUGAUACAGAAAAAAUUAGCAUGCCCCCUGCACAAGAAUGGCGUGCAAAUUCCUGAAGUAUUCCAAAUUUAU